This 508-nucleotide ribosomal RNA is filed under the name uncultured bacterium. Its description in RNAcentral is "partial 16S ribosomal RNA". It matches the Rfam family "Bacterial small subunit ribosomal RNA", at positions 30 to 523 of the family's 1533-position model. The record is from RNAcentral.
AUUGAACGCUGGCGGCAGGCCUAACACAUGCAAGUCGAGCGGCAGCGGGAAAGUAGCUUGCUACUUUUGCCGGCGAGCGGCGGACGGGUGAGUAAUGCCUGGGAAAUUGCCCAGUCGAGGGGGAUAACAGUUGGAAACGACUGCUAAUACCGCAUACGCCCUACGGGGGAAAGCAGGGGACCUUCGGGCCUUGCGCGAUUGGUUAUGCCCAGGUGGGAUUAGCUAGUUGGUGAGGUAAUGGCUCACCAAGGCGACGAUCCCUAGCUGGUCUGAGAGGAUGGUCAGCCACACUGGAACUGAGACACGGUCCAGACUCCUACGGGAGGCAGCAGUGGGGAAUAUUGCACAAUGGGGGAAACCCUGAUGCAGCCAUGCCGCGUGUGUGAAGAAGGCCUUCGGGUUGUAAAGCACUUUCAGCGAGGAGGAAAGGUUGAUGCCUAAUACGUAUCAACUGUGACGUUACUCGCAGAAGAAGCACCGGCUAACUCCGUGCCAGCAGCCGCAGUAA